This 253-nucleotide ribosomal RNA is filed under the name uncultured bacterium. RNAcentral describes it as "partial 16S ribosomal RNA". It matches the Rfam family "Bacterial small subunit ribosomal RNA", at positions 524 to 776 of the family's 1533-position model. The record is from RNAcentral.
UACGUAGGGUGCAAGCGUUGUCCGGAAUUAUUGGGCGUAAAGAGCUCGUUGGCGGUCUGUCGCGUCUGCUGUGAAAACUCAGGGCUUAACCCUGAGCUUGCAGUGGGUACGGGCAGACUAGAGUGCGGUAGGGGAGACUGGAAUUCCUGGUGUAGCGGUGAAAUGCGCAGAUAUCAGGAGGAACACCGGUGGCGAAGGCGGGUCUCUGGGCCGAUACUGACGCUGAGGAGCGAAAGCGUGGGGAGCGAACAGG